This 402-nucleotide ribosomal RNA is filed under the name uncultured bacterium. RNAcentral describes it as "bacterial SSU rRNA". It matches the Rfam family "Bacterial small subunit ribosomal RNA", at positions 355 to 774 of the family's 1533-position model. The record is from RNAcentral.
UGGGGAAUAUUGGACAAUGGGCGAAAGCCUGAUCCAGCAAUGCCGCGUGAGUGAUGAAGGCCUUAGGGUUGUAAAGCUCUUUUACCAGGGAUGAUAAUGACAGUACCUGGAGAAUAAGCUCCGGCUAACUCCGUGCCAGCAGCCGCGGUAAUACGGAGGGAGCUAGCGUUGUUCGGAAUUACUGGGCGUAAAGCGCGCGUAGGCGGCUACUCAAGUCGGGGGUGAAAGCCCGGGGCUCAACCCCGGAACUGCCCUCGAAACUAGGUAGCUAGAACCUUGGAGAGGCGAGUGGAAUUCCGAGUGUAGAGGUGAAAUUCGUAGAUAUUCGGAAGAACACCAGUGGCGAAGGCGACUCGCUGGACAAGUAUUGACGCUGAGGUGCGAAAGCGUGGGGAGCAAACA